UCCUCGACCAAGACCACGAGCGCGGCGGCGCCGCGGUGCACAACCAGGGCACUGGGGUGCUCCUCCUCGAAUUGUUCCUCCCCAUCCCUUCCCCAUGUCCGAUAAGACAACGAGUGCAGGUACAGUUCAUGAGAUCUUUUUCCAGUUGCUUGCUUGGCUUAGGAUUUUAGGAGGACAACCACAGAGGAGCUGGAAGUGCCUCUCCCCACGUCGAAGCUCUCCAUCGAACCAAUAGGGAUGGGGCAAAGUGACGCGGGGUUGGGUAAUGGAUGGGACAUUUUCAGAUCUGAACCAUAGUGCAGGCUAGGGAUUUCUCUUACAUAUGAGUGAUGUUUUUUGUAGGAGAAAAACAAGCAUAUAGGAGUGCAUUUGUCUAGGGUAAUAGAUCUAGUGCAUAGCUGGUUAGGGAUACUUUAUGAUUUGCUUCUAUAGCAUGGCGAUAUUUCGAAAGAUAAGACGAGCUUCUUUUCUGAUUCUAUCUAUGUCUGAUGUAAAGCUGAGUUUGUAAGGAUAGAUACAUAGGCAGCAACGGCCAGAUGCAGAUUUCGGAGAGUAGAAGCAAGCGCAUGACUUUGAUUUGGCCAGAAGAAUGCAUGUUCUCUGUGUCAAAGACCUCAAAAUCAGAUAAAUGCAUGCAGUGGUUUCUAUUGUGGUUGGAUUGCUGGAUUAGGAGGAUUGCGGGCAGUGGUUUUGCGAUUUUGCAGUUUGUGCCGGGCGACGCUUGUUGAGAUGCUCUAUUGGCAAGCCACGUUCAUCGUAUGUUGGAGAAGUCAGUCCACGGGUUUCCCCUCUUCCAUGCACCUGAUGGAAAUCAUUUCCUGUGCUGGAGUAGCUUGAGAGCUCGAAGGGAAGAUCAUGUAAAUGUUUCGUUGACAAGAAAGUGUAUGUUCCUACCCUUAUUCGUUCUUCCAUCUAACUUUCAUCCAUCCCAGUAUGGUCAGUGGUGUUGAGGCUGUCGAUAUCUAAGUAGACAGCAAAGGGUCGGCC
Lolium rigidum is the source of this 987-nucleotide long non-coding RNA. RefSeq lists it as uncharacterized. NCBI's taxonomy places the organism in Eukaryota, Viridiplantae, Streptophyta, Magnoliopsida, Poales, Poaceae. The record is from RefSeq and is a predicted model, not a curated record. The transcript is spliced from 3 exons.